Molecule: ribosomal RNA, 316 nt
Filed under: uncultured bacterium
Lineage: Bacteria
Description: bacterial SSU rRNA
Rfam family: Bacterial small subunit ribosomal RNA
Source: RNAcentral
AACGAACGCUGGCGGCAUGCCUAACACAUGCAAGUCGAACGAGACCUUCGGGUCUAGUGGCGCACGGGUGCGUAACGCGUGGGAACCUGCCUUUAGGUUCGGAAUAACUCAGAGAAAUUUGAGCUAAUACCGGAUAAUGUCUUCGGACCAAAGAUUUAUCGCCCUGAGAUAAGCCCGCGUAGGAUUAGCUAGUUGGUGGGGUAAAGGCUCACCAAGGCGACGAUCCUUAGCUGGUCUGAGAGGAUGAUCAGCCACACUGGGACUGAGACACGGCCCAGACUCCUACGGGAGGCAGCAGUGGGGAAUAUUGGACAAU